GCACAUGCCAGUAAAUUUCACGCGGGAAGAGGCCUAUCUGAGGCCUACUCGCUCGUUUAGUUAGCAUUGAGCUCAAAGACACAAAUUUAUAUUACAGUCGGAUGAAUAUUGAAAUAAAGAGACGAAAUGACCAAACAUGACGCUUCCUUCAGUUUCUCCGUGGAUGGAAAGACAGCGAAGUGAAGUAUACACAGCGUGGUUUCUGUGGAUGGUCCGCGUGUCUUCAGCAGCAGCAGCAGAAUCCUCUGAGGAAGUGGCCUGACUCAUCUGCGUCUGUGACAGGUAUGUAGACUGCUGUCUGAAGGCGACGUUUCGUCUGCCAUUUCACAGAGCCGUUUCUCCUUCUGACCUACAGCAGCCAUUUCCUACGCUGACUGCCUCCUGUAAUUGAAGGUACUUGUGGUGAUUUCACACAAUCAGAGUCUCACAUUCAAUGGGAUGAAAGUGAUUCAAAGAUGGGAGGCCCAUUUGAAAAGCUUCAUAGGAAAUCGUCAAUUAUCUAUACAAUAGGUUACUAAUACCUGCCCUCCUCCUCAUGCGCUGCCUAUUUCCACAUUAUAGAUUUAUGGCAUAUUUUCAAUCUAUAGGAGCUGUAUCUGCAAUGAUCCGACUGAAGCCCUCAUCUUUUAAAUCUUUUUAAUGAAACUAUAGAAAAUGACUUCUGAUGGGCUGAUUCUCAUCCUGGACUCUCAGUGCUCUGAUAGCGUGAAUGUUAGAUAACCUCUGCUGCUGUGAUAUCGAUAAUAGUCCACAAUCUACCCAGAAAGAAAUUUAGAGAUAGCUGGAGAGAAGAGAAAGUGGACAUUACCGCACAGAUAGAACUUUAAAGCCAUAGGAAAGUACAGUUUUAAAUUGAAAUUGUUUUAUUUUGUUCUUGUUAACAUAUAUUUAAUAUGGUUUAUGACUUUUGGUUGGCGCAUUGCAUUUAAACUCAAAGAUA
Long non-coding RNA from Puntigrus tetrazona (Sumatra barb), 940 nucleotides. RefSeq lists it as uncharacterized. NCBI's taxonomy places the organism in Eukaryota, Metazoa, Chordata, Actinopteri, Cypriniformes, Cyprinidae. The record is from RefSeq and is a predicted model, not a curated record. The transcript is spliced from 3 exons.